Haliotis rubra (blacklip abalone) is the source of this 124-nucleotide long non-coding RNA. RefSeq lists it as uncharacterized. Lineage: Eukaryota; Metazoa; Mollusca; Gastropoda; Lepetellida; Haliotidae. The transcript has 3 exons. The record is from RefSeq and is a predicted model, not a curated record.
ACUGUAUGUUUAAUUUGCUCAAAUCCCUUGUCAGAAAGUGCCCACAGUGCGGAGACUUUCUGGACUUUAGUGAGUCCAGAAUUAACUUGUGACGUGUUAGAUUUAUUUACAUGUAAUGUGUCAA